This 351-nucleotide ribosomal RNA is filed under the name uncultured bacterium. RNAcentral's name for it is "partial 16S ribosomal RNA". It matches the Rfam family "Bacterial small subunit ribosomal RNA", at positions 338 to 681 of the family's 1533-position model. The record is from RNAcentral.
CCUACGGGGGGCAGCAGUGGGGAAUAUUGCGCAAUGGGCGAAAGCCUGACGCAGCGACGCCGCGUGAGGGAUGAAGGUCUUCGGAUCGUAAACCUCUGUCAGCAGGGAAGAACGGUCACUGGGCUAAGCAGCAGUGAAUUGACGGUACCUGCAAAGGAAGCACAGGCUAACUCCGUGCCAGCAGCCGCGGUAAUACGGAGGGUGCGAGCGUUAAUCGGAAUUCCUGGGCGUAAAGCGCUCGUAGGCGGUAUGUCAAGUCAAGGGUGAAAUCCCCGCGCUCACCGUGGGAACUGCCUUUGAAACUGGCAAACUGGCGUGUGUGCGCGGCUAGUGGAAUUCCAGGUGUAGGCG